GAUGAACGCUGGCGGCGUGCCUAAUACAUGCAAGUAGAACGCUGAAGCUUGGUGCUUGCACCGAGCGGAUGAGUUGCGAACGGGUGAGUAACGCGUAGGUAACCUGCCUCUUAGCGGGGGAUAACUAUUGGAAACGAUAGCUAAUACCGCAUAAAAGACGAUAUCGCAUGAUAUUGAUUUGAAAGGUGCAAAUGCAUCACUAAGAGAUGGACCUGCGUUGUAUUAGCUAGUUGGUGAGGUAACGGCUCACCAAGGCAACGAUACAUAGCCGACCUGAGAGGGUGAUCGGCCACACUGGGACUGAGACACGGCCCAGACUCCUACGGGAGGCAGCAGUAGGGAAUCUUCGGCAAUGGGGGCAACCCUGACCGAGCAACGCCGCGUGAGUGAAGAAGGUUUUCGGAUCGUAAAGCUCUGUUGUAAGAGAAGAACGAGUGUGAGAGUGGAAAGUUCACACUGUGACGGUAACUUACCAGAAAGGGACGGCUAACUACGUGCCAGCAGCCGCGGUAAUACGUAGGUCCCGAGCGUUAUCCGGAUUUAUUGGGCGUAAAGCGAGCGCAGGCGGUUAGAUAAGUCUGAAGUUAAAGGCUGUGGCUUAACCAUAGUACGCUUUGGAAACUGUUUAACUUGAGUGCAGAAGGGGAGAGUGGAAUUCCAUGUGUAGCGGUGAAAUGCGUAGAUAUAUGGAGGAACACCGGUGGCGAAAGCGGCUCUCUGGUCUGUAACUGACGCUGAGGCUCGAAAGCGUGGGGAGCAAACAGG
RNAcentral lists this ribosomal RNA (765 nucleotides) under uncultured Streptococcus sp. RNAcentral's name for it is "bacterial SSU rRNA". It matches the Rfam family "Bacterial small subunit ribosomal RNA", at positions 28 to 776 of the family's 1533-position model. The record is from RNAcentral. Lineage: Bacteria; Bacillati; Bacillota; Bacilli; Lactobacillales; Streptococcaceae.